RNAcentral lists this ribosomal RNA (450 nucleotides) under uncultured bacterium. Its description in RNAcentral is "partial 16S ribosomal RNA". It matches the Rfam family "Bacterial small subunit ribosomal RNA", at positions 354 to 796 of the family's 1533-position model. The record is from RNAcentral.
GUCGAGAAUAAUUCACAAUGGACGAAAGUCUGAUGGUGCAACGCCGCGUGGAGGAUGACGGUCUUCGGAUUGUAAACUCCUGUCAUCCGGGAGUAAGACCUGGCUGUGAAUAGCAGACAGGGUUGAUAGUACCGGAAGAGGAAGGGACGGCUAACUUCGUGCCAGCAGCCGCGGUAAUACGAAGGUCCCGAGCGUUGUUCGGAUUCACUGGGCGUAAAGGGAGCGUAGGCGGCGUGGUAAGUCAGAUGUGAAAUCCCGGGGCUCAACCCCGGAACUGCAUCCGAUACUGCCGUGCUAGAGGAUUGGAGAGGUAGCUGGAAUUCUUGGUGUAGCAGUGAAAUGCGUGGAGAUCAAGAGGAACACUCGUGGCGAAAGCGAGCUACUGGACAAUAUCUGACGCUGAGGCUCGAAGGCCAGGGUAGCGAAAGGGAUUAGAUACCCGUGUAGUCC